UAGUAUCAGCGUGUCAGCCGCCGCGGUAAUACGUAGGUGGCAAGCGUUGUCCGGAAUUAUUGGGCGUAAAGCGCGCGCAGGCGGUCCUUUAAGUCUGAUGUGAAAGCCCACGGCUCAACCGUGGAGGGUCAUUGGAAACUGGGGGACUUGAGUACAGAAGAGAAGAGUGGAAUUCCACGUGUAGCGGUGAAAUGCGUAGAGAUGUGGAGGAACACCAGUGGCGAAGGCGACUCUUUGGUCUGUAACUGACGCUGAGGCGCGAAAGCGUGGGGAGCAAACAGGAUUAGAUACCCUGGUAGUCCACGCUGUAAACGAUGAGUGCUAAGUGUUAGAGGG
RNAcentral lists this ribosomal RNA (336 nucleotides) under uncultured bacterium. RNAcentral's name for it is "bacterial SSU rRNA". It matches the Rfam family "Bacterial small subunit ribosomal RNA", at positions 495 to 830 of the family's 1533-position model. The record is from RNAcentral.